RNAcentral lists this ribosomal RNA (769 nucleotides) under Pythium aff. hypogynum. Its description in RNAcentral is "eukaryotic LSU rRNA". The stretch from base 238 to 392 matches the Rfam family "5.8S ribosomal RNA". The record is from RNAcentral. Lineage: Eukaryota; Oomycota; Peronosporomycetes; Pythiales; Pythiaceae.
CCACACCUUAAACUAUCCACGUGAACCGUUUGUACCCAGAUUUGCGCCGAGAUUUUCGUGCGUGUUUGUUUGUAUCAYUGUGUAUUCGUACGCGGUGUGUGGCAAAUAUGUAUGGAGCUUGGCUGAUCGAAGGUCGUAUCGCACUUUAUUGUGUGUGUCGGCUGACUUAUUUUUCAAACCCAUUACUUACUACUGAUUAUACUGUGAAGACGAAAGUCUUUGCUUUUACUAGAUAACAACUUUCAGCAGUGGAUGUCUAGGCUCGCACAUCGAUGAAGAACGCUGCGAACUGCGAUACGUAAUGCGAAUUGCAGAAUUCAGUGAGUCAUCGAAAUUUUGAACGCAUAUUGCACUUUCGGGUUAUACCUGGAAGUAUGUCUGUAUCAGUGUCCGUACAUCAAACUUGCCUCUCUUUAUUGGUGUAGUCCAAUAUCGAGCAGAGCAGAUCUGAGGUGUCUCGCGGCUGUUGUGUAUAGAAGGUUUGUAUGAACUUUAUAUACCAAGCUUCGAGUCCCUUUAAAACGACACGAUCUUUCUAUUUGCUUUCUACAGAGCGCAUAUUUCGAACGCGGCGGUCCUCGGAUCACUCGCAGUCGACAGCGAUUUCGGCAGAGACGUAUGGGAGAAACCUCUAUUCGCGGUACGUUAGGCUUCGGCUCGACAAUGUUGCGAUAUAGUGUGUGGCUCUCGUCUUUGUCUUGAGGUGUACUGUUGGUUGUGGGUUUGAACCUUGUGUAUUGUUUUGUUAGUAGAGUUGUGUUGUUUUUUU